This 504-nucleotide ribosomal RNA is filed under the name uncultured Actinomycetes bacterium. RNAcentral's name for it is "bacterial SSU rRNA". It matches the Rfam family "Bacterial small subunit ribosomal RNA", at positions 8 to 522 of the family's 1533-position model. Lineage: Bacteria; Bacillati; Actinomycetota; Actinomycetes. The record is from RNAcentral.
AGAGUUUGAUCCUGGCUCAGGACGAACGCUGGCGGCGUGCUUAACACAUGCAAGUCGAACGAGGUUCAGUCGGUAGCAAUACCGACGAAGACCUAGUGGCGAACGGGUGCGUAACACGUGAGGAACUUGUCCCGGUCUCUGGGAUAACAGUUGGAAACGACUGCUAAUACCGGAUGACGUCGGAGCGUCGCAUGGCGCGCUGACGAAAGGGUUACUGGAUCGGGAGAGCCUCGCGGCCUAUCAGCUUGUUGGUGGGGUAACGGCCUACCAAGGCAUCGACGGGUAGCUGGUCUGAGAGGAUGAUCAGCCACACUGGGACUGAGACACGGCCCAGACUCCUACGGGAGGCAGCAGUGGGGAAUCUUGCGCAAUGGGCGAAAGCCUGACGCAGCAACGCCGCGUGCGGGAAGAAGGCUCUCGGGUUGUAAACCGCUUUCAGAAGGAACGAAACUGACGGUACUUUCAGAAGAAGGUGCGGCCAACUACGUGCCAGCAGCCGCGGUG